Molecule: long non-coding RNA, 1899 nt
Organism: Acanthochromis polyacanthus (spiny chromis)
Lineage: Eukaryota; Metazoa; Chordata; Actinopteri; Pomacentridae
Exons: 2
Source: RefSeq, a predicted model, not a curated record
UAAUGUUUAUUUUCUUAUUGGUGCUGGUUUUACUGCACUUUAUAUACACCUGUAGUGUCAGAUAUGUGUACCAUAUACUGCAGAUCAGUGGCGGCUGGUGGUGAAAUGUGUUGGGUGGGCUAACAAAUACAUAAUACCAAUUAAAUGGUUAACACAGCUGCAAAAGCAACAUCACCUAUGAUACACACAAUUACAUCAAUUACAGGUACACUAUACAUGUUUAGUGCUCUACAUCAACACUCUCACUCACACAUACACAUGCACCGUGUUGUUGCUACCCAGUGGGGACGAGAUUUUGGCGUUUUCUGGAAAGUUGUUGCUUUAUUCAUUUUCAAAAUCUUAAAACCUUUAUUUUUCUGAAAGUUCUGAAAAACAGCAAAGAUUAAACCUGUGACUUUUGUUUCUGCUUGUAGCCAACGCUAUGUACAUGGAGGGUCAGGAGAUGAGGAAAGUUCUGGAAAGAGACAACAUAACUGUCAAGAAAAAUCUGGACAAGAUCAUUUUUUAUUACAGAGCUACAGACCACUGGUGCCCUGUUCAGUACUAUCACGACAUCAAACGGGACUUCCCUCAUGGAGACUUGAGACUGUGUGAGAACGGCUUCCGCCACGCCUUCGUCUUGGAUGCAGGACGAGAUGUCGCCUAAAUGGUGUUUAAAUGGAUCAGAGGAGAUCUGACUACAUGAGCUCAUUCUUCUGUUGGCAUUUCUUCCACUGAACACUGAUGACCACAACCUGUGAUGACCAAAACCUACGAGCAGAGAUGUUUUAACUGGACUGAAGAGAGAUGGAUUGGAAAUAUUUUAAAUAUUAAUUUAUAUAGGCUACCUCCCUGCCAUACCCUCUUUCCCAUCCAGUCUGAUGCCACAUUUUAGAUGAUUUAUGCUGUCUUUUAUCAGCCAGUGUGUUCAGUCCCAGCAUGGAGCUCGUAUGUCGUUUCUGUCUGUCACAAUACUCUCCUGUCUCACAGACUGGACCGUCUGGUUUUUGGUAACAAUACUGUAGUUUUAAGUGCAUUCUUGUGAAACUACAAAGGUAAAGAUGUUUUUUUCACCUAAGAGAUAAAUUAGUUUAUUGUUGUAUGAUCCUAAAUAUUUAAUGGAGUGUUUUUACACAGAAAGCUCUGGUGGCUGUCAUUUUUACAACUUGUUUAUCCACUGAUGGUAUUGUUUUAUGUCACAUUGAGGUUGCCUUCCUCUCCUGACCCUUACAGGCCUCCUUACCACUGUGUUGAGAGUUCAGGAUGAACUUCAUUCUAACAAAUCAACUUGUACCUGCACUAACUAGGAGUUCAGCUGUGAACCAGAGCCUGUGUGGCGCUCAUGUUCGUAUCAGGACAGCAUUGUUCUGAAAACCAGUUUGACAUCAUUGUUUAUUUAGAGUUUAUGUCAGGAUUCUGCCUCUAUUACUGCCUUUUUGUUCCUUUUCCUGUUUUUUCAUCCUGUGUUGUCUGGUCUCUCUGUCUCCCUCUGUCUGCUGCUCCCUGCCUACUCUGCACCUGGCCUCUGAUUGUUGUCACUUGAUGCAAUCAAGCUCAGACUCGUUUCACCUGGUCCUCCCCUCUGUAUUUAAGCCCUGCCAUUUCUCUCAGUUGUUGCUGGCUCAUCAUAUUGGAUUCACUCUGCUUCAGACUCCGUUCCCGCUUUACCUCUGGAUUACACCUGUUUACUGGACAACUCUGCUUUCCCCCCAUUUAUGGAUUAUACCUUUUGGACUUUGUAGUUUUUGAUUUGGACUCAGUUUGUUUCCACCUUCAGUCAUAGUUCCUGUGUGUGAGUAUCAUUUCCUCAGCCCUCUUGUUUGUCACCGUUUUGUUUAUUGUAGCCACUUCAGUCUCGUUUUCAGUUAGUAGUUGUUUUGAUUAAAUAAACUUUUUUUUUUAUUUUUUUUUUUACCAGAA